ACUUCACGUAAUCGGAUUUGGCUGAAUAUUUUAGCCGCCCCAGUCAGUAAUGACUGGGGCGUUUUUUAUUGGGCGAAAGAAAAGAUCCGUAAUGCCUGAUGCGCUAUGU
Molecule: non-coding RNA, 109 nt
Filed under: Escherichia coli K-12
Lineage: Bacteria; Pseudomonadati; Pseudomonadota; Gammaproteobacteria; Enterobacterales; Enterobacteriaceae
Source: RNAcentral